This 250-nucleotide ribosomal RNA is filed under the name uncultured prokaryote. RNAcentral's name for it is "partial 16S ribosomal RNA". It matches the Rfam family "Bacterial small subunit ribosomal RNA", at positions 524 to 773 of the family's 1533-position model. The record is from RNAcentral.
UACGUAAGUUGCGAGCGUUGUUCGGAAUUAUUGGGCGUAAAGGGCAUGUAGGCGGUCCUGCAAGUCUGGUGUGAAAUGCCGGGGCUCAACCCCGGAACUGCGUUGGAAACUGCAGGGCUUGAGUCACUGAGGGGCGGUCAGAAUUCCAGGUGUAGGGGUGAAAUCUGUAGAUAUCUGGAAGAAUACCAAUGGCGAAGGCAGGCCGCCAGCAGAUGACUGACGCUGAGGUGCGAAGGUGCGGGGAGCAAAC